GCCUACGACCAUGCCACCCUGAAUGUGCCUGAUCUCGUCUGAUCUCAGAAGCUAAGCAGGGUCGGGCCUGGUUAGUAUUUGGAUGGGAGACUACCUAGGAAGACCAGGUACUGUAGAUG
RNAcentral lists this ribosomal RNA (119 nucleotides) under Pteropus alecto (black flying fox). The record is from RNAcentral. Lineage: Eukaryota; Metazoa; Chordata; Mammalia; Chiroptera; Pteropodidae.